RNAcentral lists this long non-coding RNA (1161 nucleotides) under Homo sapiens (human). RNAcentral describes it as "HSALNT0382745". The record is from RNAcentral. Lineage: Eukaryota; Metazoa; Chordata; Mammalia; Primates; Hominidae.
AGUUCUUUCUCCAUUUUAGGGACAACUGGAUGUGGAUGUGAAACCACCUCAAGCAUAUUUGUUAAAGGUUUAUCUAGUUUCACAUCUUUUCGUUGGCCUUUGUUAUCCACCACUUUGAAAGGACAAAAAUCCGCACGUUCCUGGGUAUCCCUUACAGGGUCAGAGGUGACUGUAUGAGCCUGUGGGUCUUCACAGUGGGAGGCAUCGGGUGGAUCUUGUGAGCUGGGUUGCCUUGCUGUGGUGCUUUCGGACUCGCUAACUAUGUUAUCACACAGUUUUGCAACCAAAUCGCCACUAGAAGUCACUGUGUUCUGUUGACAUGCAGAGUCUGCACAAAGUUUAUCGUCUCCAGUUGUAGAACAAAUGGCUGGAAUCACCACAGAAUUCUGAUCUACUGGAGCAUCAGCACUCUCCUCACGACUUCGUGAAGUUUCCGUUUCUGCUGUUUUUUCAGUGGAGGUUUCUUCAUUACUAAAUGCAAGUGAAGACUCAGCAGGUUUGUUACCAUCCAGGGAACUGGCAGCAGGGGCACAGUUUGGAACACUGAUUUUAUCCACAGGCUUACUUGUGACGUGCACGUCAGAGGCUCCAGCUGUGCCAAUAUUAGAGUUCUCAAAUCUUUCCUUUGUACUUUCCCCUCCCUGAAGCACAUUCUUCCAAACAGUGGCAUCUGGGUUCAUGAGCCCAUGUUCCAUUUCCCCUGCAGUGUCUGGGGUACUGACAUUUGUUGUUGAAAUGCCUCCCAGUUCACCUCCAGAGGAAUACUGGGCUGUGCCUGGCUCCAUGACCAAGUCUCUCUGAAGCACAGCAUCUCCACUGCUCAGGGACUCCUGGUCUGUGGGCAUUCCAGAAGAUUUUGUUCCAGUUUCUUCAUUUCUGUUUCCACAGGACGAAAGGCCUUCCGUGCCCUUUACUCCACAAUCAGGCAAGCUCUGAAGGCAGCUGUCUUGAUCAGAUACAGUUCCAGAGUCCACAAUAGGUGCUGGCUCCACCUCUUCCCCUUUUCUUUCCACGCCUUUAUUUUUCUUCCUACAGGAACGGUCUGUAUUCUCCUCCUCAACUAUGCUUGACAAAUCACAGGGACUUUCAGUCUGUGCAACAGGGCUCCCUGGGCAGCACUGAGUGCUCUCAGUCUCUUCAGAAGAAGAAAGUCGCUGAGGG